RNAcentral lists this ribosomal RNA (212 nucleotides) under uncultured bacterium. RNAcentral's name for it is "partial 16S ribosomal RNA". It matches the Rfam family "Bacterial small subunit ribosomal RNA", at positions 136 to 334 of the family's 1533-position model. The record is from RNAcentral.
ACGGGGGACAACUCCGCGAAAGCGGGGCUAAGACCGCGUACGCUCUCUUUGGGAAGAGCAAAGAGAGGAGAAGGAGGCGUGAGGAGCGCCUGCUGACCUGUGCGGGGCGUGCGUCUGAUUAGCUAGUUGGUGGGGUAAGAGCCUACCAAGGCGACGAUCAGUCGCUGGUCUGAGAGGAUGAUCAGCCACACUGGGACUGAGACACGGCCCAG